GACAGAGGAGCCAAGCGUUGUCCGGAUUGACUGGGCGUAAAGCGCACGCAGGCGGCUCAGCGCGUGGGGUGUGAAAGGUGGCGGCUCAACUGCCACACGCCAUCCCAUACGGCUGGGCUCGAGCCAUGCAGAGGUCCACGGAAUUGCCGGUGUAGCGGUGAAAUGCGUAGAGAUCGGGAGGAACACCAGUGGCGAAGGCGGCUACCUGGACCAGCACUGACACUGAGGCACGAAAGCGUGGGGAGCAAACAGG
Molecule: ribosomal RNA, 253 nt
Filed under: uncultured bacterium
Lineage: Bacteria
Description: partial 16S ribosomal RNA
Rfam family: Bacterial small subunit ribosomal RNA
Source: RNAcentral